Molecule: long non-coding RNA, 699 nt
Filed under: Nicotiana benthamiana
Lineage: Eukaryota; Viridiplantae; Streptophyta; Magnoliopsida; Solanales; Solanaceae
Description: long non-coding RNA (NBEN_LNC041072)
Source: RNAcentral
AUCACAUUCUCUAUAGGGAAUGAGAAUUGAGCAAAUUCAAUGGGACGGAUUUUUAAUUCUUUGCCCCCAAUCGUGGUGGUUCGUUUGGGCAAUGUUUAAGUCCUUGAUUUAAAAUUGAAGGCCGUAGCUUUUGCCAGAGUUUAGAGAGAGGGAGACUGGAAUCGCCAUGCGCGCAUAUUUCUUCGAGCGCUGAGUUAACGAUGGUGUCCAUUGGAAGGAGCAAAAUUCAUUACUGUGGGAACUUAAACUGAAACUGAGAUGGCAGAGUCUCGUGCUGAUAACGUGUUAUGAAACAAUAAAAGAACAAGUGCAAUAUUGCAGAGAAAGAGAGAGAAAUUCUUAUUGAAUUUUGGGGGUCAUUUACAAUGGGGUAAGACCCUCUAUUUAUAGGAGGAAAAAUGACUUAGCCUCAAAGUAAAACUCUCUACAAGAUAGACAUUCACUCUAAAUAGAAUUCUAUUCUUAACAAAUAACAUAAUUUUCAUACUGACUACUGAAAAUUGGAAACUGCCCUCUUUUUUUCAUCUUAUAUGGUAUUUUAUCCCUUUUAAUCAAACUCCAAACGUAAUGAAUAUUAGAUAUUUUGACUUUGAAAAUGAUUUCCCGUUGCUCCUCAUCAGCUUAGCUGUAACACCUCAAACAUUUUCUGUUUUUGUAUUCUCUUUCCCACACAACGGUCAUAUUCCCAUGAAAGUCACA